Prosopis cineraria is the source of this 895-nucleotide long non-coding RNA. RefSeq lists it as uncharacterized. The transcript is spliced from 5 exons. Lineage: Eukaryota; Viridiplantae; Streptophyta; Magnoliopsida; Fabales; Fabaceae. The record is from RefSeq and is a predicted model, not a curated record.
CCCUGAAGCUCAACGGCUAAAAGCCUGAAAUAUUAAUCGCUCAUCCACAUCAUCUCUCCUCAAGAUUUUUUCUACGGGAACCUAAAUAUUGGGUUCUCUUCUCCCCAAACCUCCGAUUCCCAUCUAAAUCCCACUCUUGAUGUGCGAGUGUUUGUUCUCUCCGUACGGGAGAGUUCUCCGCCACCCUUUGGAGUGGUUUCUUUUUCAUCUAGGGCUUAAUGGCGGCAAAGGAUUUAAGCGGUUCCUCUCUCCGAUGGCUACUAUGCGAAACAGGGUGAAUGGUUGGCGGAGGAGACGAGGGAAAUCGAAGGGGGUCUCGACUGAAUGAGAGCCAAAAGGGUGCGGCGCUGCUGAUGGGCGAUGAUUGGAAGCUGGCUCUGAUUCAUGCGAAGGGAGGAGAUGAUACUGGAAGGACUUCUUAAAUUACCAGAAAAUAGGGAGUGUGCUGAUCGCAAAACUAAAGGACCGAAAUGGGCUAGUGUGAACUUAGGCAUCUCAUGCAUGCAGUGAUCAGGAAUACAUCGAAGUGUAGGAGUACGUAUAUCAAAGGAAGAAGCAAUCUAUGAUUGAUGUGACUUCUGAGUUUUUUGCUGAGGUACUUGGACCACUUUUAGGUUCUUCUAGUUAGUUAUGUCUUUGUACUCUGUUAGAGUACCAACCUCCUCAACUAUGUCAUCUAUGCUAUCUUUAUUUUGUGCUCCUUUCUUCUUUCUAGGAUUUUUAUCUUUGGAAUCAAUUGAUCUACCACGCUUCUUUCUAAUUGUCCUACUGGGAUAUCAAUUAUAAUAGGAAUAUUUUUAGUUAGAAUAUGAGACUUGGUAAUUCUUUUAAAGUUAGUAAAUGCAUAUGGCAAUUGAUUUGCAAUAUUUUGUAAAUAAUUUUUUUUUAACUUCAA